Molecule: transfer RNA, 69 nt
Filed under: Ictidomys tridecemlineatus (thirteen-lined ground squirrel)
Lineage: Eukaryota; Metazoa; Chordata; Mammalia; Rodentia; Sciuridae
Description: Spermophilus tridecemlineatus (thirteen-lined ground squirrel) tRNA
Rfam family: tRNA
About the family: Transfer RNA (tRNA) molecules are approximately 80 nucleotides in length.
Source: Rfam by way of RNAcentral
GGGGUUGUGGCUCAGUGGUGGAGCGCUCGUCUAGCACGUGUGAGGCCCUGGGUUCAAUUCUCAGUACCA